AUUCCGGAACGGAGGGCUCUGGGUCCACCUCCCACCCAUGUUUAUUGUACCUUGUUGCUUCGGCGGGCCCGCCUCACGGCCGCCGGGGGGCUUCUGCCCUCUGGCCCGCGCCCGCCGAAGACACCAUUGAACACUGUCUGAAGAUUGCAGUCUGAGCAAUUAGCUAAAUAAGUUAAAACUUUCAACAACGGAUCUCUUGGUUCCGGCAUCGAUGAAGAACGCAGCGAAAUGCGAUACGUAAUGUGAAUUGCAGAAUUCAGUGAAUCAUCGAGUCUUUGAACGCACAUUGCGCCCCUUGGUAUUCCGGGGGGCAUGCCUGUCCGAGCGUCAUUGCUGCCCUCAAGCACGGCUUGUGUGUUGGGCCCCGUCCUCCUUCCCGGGGGACGGGCCCGAAAGGCAGCGGCGGCACCGCGUCCGGUCCUCGAGCGUAUGGGGCUUUGUCACCCGCUCUUGUAGGCCCGGCCGGCGCUUGCCGACAACCAUCAAUCUUUUUUCAGGUUGACCUCGGAUCAGGUAGGGAUACCCGCUGAACUUAAGCAUAUCAAAAGGCGGGAGAGAA
Molecule: ribosomal RNA, 559 nt
Filed under: Penicillium corylophilum
Lineage: Eukaryota; Fungi; Ascomycota; Eurotiomycetes; Eurotiales; Aspergillaceae
Description: eukaryotic LSU rRNA
Rfam family: 5.8S ribosomal RNA (bases 177-330)
Source: RNAcentral